GAAAUGUGAUAAGUAAUGUGAAUUGCAGAAUUCAGUGAAUCAUCGAAUCUUUGAACGUACAUUGCGCCCCUUAGUAUUCCGAGGAGCAUACCUGUUCGAGCGUCAUUAUAACCCUCAAGCCUAGCUUAGUGUUAAGACGUGCUGUUACCGGUAGUCCUUAAAACUAGUAGCGGUGCUAUCUAGCUCUAAGCGUAGUAAUACCUCUCGCUAUAGAGUCCCGGUAGAUGCUUGCUAUCAACCUCUAAUUUUCUAUAGUUGACCUCGGAUCAGGUAGGGAUACCCGCUGAACUUAA
RNAcentral lists this unclassified non-coding RNA (293 nucleotides) under uncultured Helotiales. RNAcentral's name for it is "sequence contains ITS1". The stretch from base 1 to 105 matches the Rfam family "5.8S ribosomal RNA", at positions 50 to 154 of the family's 154-position model. The record is from RNAcentral. Lineage: Eukaryota; Fungi; Ascomycota; Leotiomycetes; Helotiales.